UGAAACCAGGGUUAGAUACCCUGUUAUACUAGGAUAAAAACAAAGUGAUCUUGAACAAUAACAAUUAAUUAGUUCGAAAUUCAAAGGGUUUGGCGGCAUUUUAGUCCAGUUGGAGGAACCUGUUUUAUAAAUGAUAUGCCCCGUAUUAUCUUUCUUGCUCUUGUGUAAGCUAGUAUACCGUCAUUGUUAGGUAAUUUUGUUCGGUUAAAAAAUUAUUGCAAUUAGGUGUCAUUAAAUAUAUUAGAUCAUGGUGCUGCUAAUGAGCAAGUUCAAAAUGGGUUACAAUGAAAUUUAUUUAUACGGAUCGGUGAAUGAAAUUUUCACGGUGAAGGAGGAUUCAAUAGUAAUGCGGAUUUAAUAAGUCCACGUGAGAUCGGCUCUAAAAUGUGUACAUAUCCACCGUCGCUA
RNAcentral lists this ribosomal RNA (408 nucleotides) under Acantharctus ornatus. RNAcentral's name for it is "partial 12S ribosomal RNA". The stretch from base 53 to 408 matches the Rfam family "Microsporidia small subunit ribosomal RNA", at positions 752 to 1204 of the family's 1311-position model. Lineage: Eukaryota; Metazoa; Arthropoda; Malacostraca; Decapoda; Scyllaridae. The record is from RNAcentral.